UUGAUAGAAGCCAAAAUCAGAGGCUUAUCAUUGUUAAUGAUAUAAUUGAAAUAUUUCCUAUCAAU
RNAcentral lists this transfer RNA (65 nucleotides) under Geothelphusa sp. DJL-2014. RNAcentral describes it as "tRNA-Asn". The record is from RNAcentral. Lineage: Eukaryota; Metazoa; Arthropoda; Malacostraca; Decapoda; Potamidae.